GGCCUGGAGAAGAGCGGGUG
RNAcentral lists this small nuclear RNA (20 nucleotides) under Arabidopsis thaliana (thale cress). RNAcentral describes it as "snRNA_01901". The record is from RNAcentral. Lineage: Eukaryota; Viridiplantae; Streptophyta; Magnoliopsida; Brassicales; Brassicaceae.